Molecule: ribosomal RNA, 244 nt
Filed under: uncultured bacterium
Lineage: Bacteria
Description: partial 16S ribosomal RNA
Rfam family: Bacterial small subunit ribosomal RNA
Source: RNAcentral
GCAAGUCGAACGGUAACGCGGGGCAACCUGGCGACGAGUGGCGAACGGGUGAGUAAUAUAUCGGAACGUGCCCAGUAGUGGGGGAUAGCCCGGCGAAAGCCGGAUUAAUACCGCAUGAGACCUACGGGUGAAAGCGGGGGAUCGCAAGACCUCGCGCUAUUGGAGCGGCCGAUAUCAGAUUAGGUAGUUGGUGGGGUAAAAGCCUACCAAGCCGACGAUCUGUAGCUGGUCUGAGAGGACGACC